Molecule: ribosomal RNA, 254 nt
Filed under: uncultured prokaryote
Description: partial 16S ribosomal RNA
Rfam family: Bacterial small subunit ribosomal RNA
Source: RNAcentral
UACAGAGGUCUCAACCGUUGUUCGGAUUCAUUGGGCGUAAAGGGCGCGUAGGCGGCCACCGCAAGUCGACUGUGAAAUCUCCGGGCUUAACCCGGAAAGGUCAGCCGAUACUGCGGGGCUAGAGUGCAGAAGGGGCAACUGGAAUUCUCGGUGUAGCGGUGAAAUGCGUAGAUAUCGAGAGGAACACCUGCGGCGAAGGCGGGUUGCUAGGCUGACACUGACGCUGAGGCGCGAAAGCUAGGGGAGCGAACGGG